Molecule: long non-coding RNA, 3398 nt
Filed under: Mus musculus (house mouse)
Lineage: Eukaryota; Metazoa; Chordata; Mammalia; Rodentia; Muridae
Description: long non-coding RNA chr3:118456810-118460208
Source: RNAcentral
CAAUACGUAUUUUAAGUUUGUGGUAUAUUAAAAAGUUUAUGAAUAUUAAUAAACAGAAAACAUGAUUGCAAAUUGUAAAAUCUUUAAUAAAGUAAUGCUUCAGAGAGACAGGCAGAAGUGGAUAAGGGCAGUAGGGGGAAGGUGAAAUGGAGAAGUCUAUUCAACACUUUCAAAGAUAACAAAAACUGAAGCUUAACUAGCAGCCAGAUGAAGAGAAGCUGGUGGGUAUCAAAAAUAUUUUAAGCUACAUUUGCUGCUUCCUCCUUUGGUUUUCUUUCUUUAAAGAGCAAAAUAAUGGCUAUUCAGUCGUUAGCCUUGUGUUCAAAGAUCCUGUUCUUUUUUGAUUAAAAAUUUUCUGAAACGAUAUGAAGCAUAUGAAGCAUUUUUUUUAAAUAGGGUAAGUUGUAAAAGUAAAGAAGUAACUUCCAAGCAAUGGCUUUACAGUGUGAAGACAGAUAAAUUUUUUAAUACUUAGAAUGUUCUUCAAAGGUUAUUAUAUUGCUAAGAAAGUGCCAUCUCUUAGAUAGCAAUGAUCUCUCAGUAGACACCCUGCGUGGGUCCUACGCUUUAAGGAGAUCAGGUCUCUUUUAGAACAUCAAAUGUACGCUUGAUAUUCUGUUCUCAGAGUCCUGAUUCUGAUGUCUUCUUAUCGCAAUGACUGCAUUGAAUUCCACAAAUAUACACUCUUUGGAGAAGAUAGAAAGUAUUAGGAGUUGUUCCCCCAAAACAUCUGAAAGUAUUUUCAGGUGAAAUCAUCUUGUUAGAGGAUCACAUGCCCUCACACUAAGGCUCCAUGUGCUAAAGUCUCCUACUAUUUUGUCUUAGUACACAUGGGAGUCAAAAGGGACUUUAUAUAGUUUUGAAAUAUUUAUAUGGCCCAAACAAAUCAUAUUUCCAAAAUCAUGUGUACCUUUGUUGCUUAUGAAUGUGAGACUGACAUAAUUUCAUGGUAACAAUGACACAUGUCUCAACAGUUCCCCAGCAGUAAUGAAAACUAAUAGGGAAAAAUCAAUUAAAAUUGGUUUUAUAUAGCUUUUUUUAUAGCUAAUGCAAGUCUUUGUCCAGUUUUAAAUAGCUCUUCUAAUUUUUCUUUGGUCCAAAUGUUCUUAAUGGAUUGAAACAUGGGAGUAGAAUUCCAUACAAAAUUAAUUUAUCUGCUCACUAAUAACUAACUUAGGAUUUCAUUUUUCUACAAAAUGGUAACAACACCUGCUUUAUUCAAACUUAAAUAGUACUCUAUGAGAAUGAUACCCCAUGAAUAGAAAUAGUCAUGCUUGGCCCUCAGUUACAUUAUAAUAAUUCAGGUCAUUACAUAGCUGUCAUUCUGUCUAUACAGAUAACAACUAAAUAUCAUUUCAGUAUCAUUUGAUAUAUGUAUAGAGUUUAAUUUGGGAAUAAAUAUAUGACUACUAUGAAAAUUAACAGAAUUCAUGGCUACUUUUAAUGCAUUAAAGUUGUAGAACGAACAUUUUGCAAAAUAUAUUCAUCAAGAAUUGCUUAGAUAGCUAGCAAGUUAGACGUGAGAUUGAUCUCCCAAAUCCACGUUAAAACCAAAACCAAAAACCAAAAACCAAAACCAAAACCAAGACCAAAACAACAAAAAUGAACAAACAGGUGUGCAAGGUCAUCAUUCUUGUACUCUGACCAACACAUAUACACAUGCACACCAGUGAACAAGCACAGAACACAUGCACAUAAUGAGUUGACAUAAAAUAAUCAUUUAACAAUAAGGUUAAAUUAUGGUCCUCUUAUGGAGAUAAAGCUUUACGUCAAUGAGGAGUAGAAAACAUAAAAAAAAAAAUUAUGAGCCAAUUUCCCAUUUUUUUGCAUUAGAAAGAAAGAAGAAAUAAUUCACAAACAUUUCGUACAAGCUUAGCUGACAACUAUUUUCAUAUUUCACCCAGGACUUCCUUCUUAAGGUUUUGAUCAAGUUAGACGCACUGCUCAGAAGACAAAUGGCAUCACAGGACAGGUAUUAUGAAUCUUAGUUAAAGAUUAUGUAGAUUGCUCUGGAAAAGUAGUGAUUCAUCAAACAAUAUGAAGAUGUCAUUGACAUUAGAUCCCACAGGACCGAUGUGUGGUCUUUCUGUGGUACUGUACUCCUUAUGAUGGCUUUCUUAAGGUCCCCAUCACAUCCUAUUGUAAUUGUUGAUUCAUGAGCUUUCUUUCUCACUAGAAGUUGUCUGAGUACACAUGGUCCUUAAAUUACCUAUCAUCCCUUUCAAACUUAUGGCAGUACUCAGUAAAUGAGAAGUGAAAUAGUAAAUGUAUGAAUGAGAAGUGAGGAGUUAUAACUAAGAUGAAGGGGAAGUCAUAUUAGAUAAAGUAUCAGUUGGGUAGACAGAACGAAAUAUCAGACUUCUAAUUUUUGUGCUACCCAACACAUUAAACUGUUGGUGUCCUUUAGUGGGGAAGCAGAAUAAAUGGUGAUAAAAGAUCUUUCCUUAUUUAUUUUUCGUCACACAAGGGCAUAUAAUCUUUGUAGUCACAAAAAGUCUUUGACUUUACUGAUUUCAAUUGUUUUAUGAAUUUAUCCUUACAGCCAUGUUUUGCAGCCUCAUUAUUCAGAGAAAUUUAGUGACAUAUAUGAUUACACACACUUAUAUUAUUCAAACAGUUGUCUUUCAAGAAACAAAGAAAAGUUUGUAUGUAAAGGAUGCUAUUUCCCCUAAAAUGUGGUCUUAGUCAUUAAAGAGGAGUAAAAAUAGAUAAUUUUGACACUUUAGGAGUAGUCAUCUGCUCUUGGAAAGAUAUAAAUGUGUUUUGUUCCUUUCCUCCAACUAAGCCAAAUUAUUCCCUUCCUCAAAUCCGAGAUUAUAUUUUUCUCCAAAAACAAUUUCUGAUAUGAUAUGAUUUAUGAUCAAGUAAUUGACUUGCAAACACCUUAAAUGAACUUUCAAUAAGCCAUCAAAUGUUGUUGAUGGAUGCCACAUGAAAGGAUCCAGCAGCCAUCUGGAGAAGUGUUGGGCAAUCAGGCUACCAUUUUCGAAUCUGAGAAAGCAAUCCAAAAGAGAAUGGGAAGAGGACCGCAGCAGAUGGCUGUCCAGCUGAACUAGACAAGUGUGGGUACACAGCAGAGAGUAGCUACUUUCACCACUUGCUCAAGACCAUUGUACACUGAGACAUGCAGACAUUUGAGGGGCACCUCUCUCUCUCUCUCUCUCUCUCUCUCUCUCUCUCUCUCUCUCUCUCUCUCUCUUUCUCUCUCUCUCUCUCAAAGAGGCAACCACAAAGGGGCUGAGUGAGGACUAUAAACUACUCUAUUAAUUCACAGGAAAUCACAGACCAGUUUGACUGAAUUCAUUCUAAUGUUAAAGCAAAUAUGUAUACAGGAUCAAUAAUAAUUUACUUUGAGAUCUCCAUAAAUAUCUUCUUUAAAACAUCAGGGUUAAAAAGCC